Molecule: long non-coding RNA, 2442 nt
Organism: Dendronephthya gigantea
Lineage: Eukaryota; Metazoa; Cnidaria; Anthozoa; Malacalcyonacea; Nephtheidae
Exons: 3
Source: RefSeq, a predicted model, not a curated record
AAAAACUGAAUGGUUGAAAUGACCAAAAAAAAAGGUUGCAACCAUUUAAAAUGGUUGUUUCAACCAAUUAAAUUGGUUAAAACCAAAUUAAAAUGGUAGAAAUAACCAAUAAAAAAUUGGUAAAAUGGAUAUGAAAGCUCAUAUUGGUAAAAACAACCAAAUAUAUUUAGUAGCAACAAAUAAAAUUUGGUUAAAUUUACCAAUUACUCUUUGUGGUCAAUGGGGUAUAUUUGUAGACUUCUGGUUCUAUGUUCUAUUGAAUCCAAUAAAAUAUGCUAGAAUGCUAUAGCACAUUCUAAAUCCUAUGGCUAUAGAAUAUUCUAUAGGACUUCUUAUGAUCUUAUGCUAUAUAGAAUUCCAUUGCCGUAUUCUAUAGAAUUCACAAAUCCUAUAGAAUUUACAAAUCCUAUAGAAUAUUAAAUCUUAAAAUUAAAUUUCUCAGCAAAAAUCACUCGUUUUGUAAGGACAAAUCACACAUGCAUGUAUCUGUAAACUGUCUUCAUAAUAUACCUGUUCGCAGGUUACGUGGCGGGCGUUUUGCCCAAAGAGGACCGCAAGGUUAUGUGGGACUUGUAUAACCGACACGCGUUAUUUUCAAAUUUUGAGCGCGUCUUUGACUCUUUGUCAUCGGUUCAAGGUUUUAUAGUAGAAUUUAGUGAGUUUUUCUUUCGUAUUUUAACAUAAAAUACGCGUUAUUUGAAUUUGUCAAUGAGUAGUCAUGCGAAAUUGGUGAAACACGCUGGAUUAAUAUGCGAGGAGAUCCGGAUUAUUUGUGAAUAGUGACUGUGAUCGCGAGGAAGAAGUAAUUGUGUCAUGGCCAUGUGGAAUUUCUAAAGUUGAUAAGAAAAUAAUCAAAGGUUCCAUUCAACUAUCUACAAUUUCAACAACAACAUGUGUACAGCUAAAGUAUUAUAAUUCAGUGGCUUCAAGAUCACCUUUAAGUGCAAGAUUCUUGUGACUGAUGCUGAAUCAGAAAUCCUCAAAUUCUGAUGCUGAAUCAGAAAUCCUCAAAUUCUGAUGCUGAAUCAGAAAUGGCAAGUAUUAUUGUAUUUAUGCUGUCAAAACUCAACAACUGUAAAUCCUACUUCUGGUGAAUCAUAUAGAUAAUAUAAUAUACCUUUUAUUUAUAUCAUUAUAAAUAGGGCCAUUACAACUAUUUCUGUCAAUGCUUUUGCAGUACAUUUAUAAAUUCUAUAGCUAUAUCAUGGCAUCAUGCUAAGAAUGAAUAAGGUGUCAAAUGUUUAAAUUUCAUAUUUACUGUUAAAAUUUACAGAUUUUCUUAUAUCCAAACAUAUUAACCAAAGGUCAAAAUUUGGUUUAUGCAAUUAUGGGCAUGUCAAGGAUGCAAGAACAACUUUGCUCUCAUUCCAUCCCUGGGAAACUUUCAAAUUAUGCCUUUAAAGAAAAGGAUGCAAAACCCCAACUCGACCCAGAGAAAGUUAAGAGUAUAUGUGGUAAGUAGUAAUUGUUAGUAACUAUUUGUGGAAGUUAAUAUAUCUUAUAUACAUAUCUUGGUUUAUCUAAUUGUUGACUUUUACUUUUUCUGUGUGUAGAGCAUCAUUUCGAUGCACAUGGUUAAGAUGCCCAAACAUUGAUUCAAAGAAGCCAUCAAUGCUGGCUGUUCUGGAAAAGAACAAGAACAAAGAUGUCCAACACAUUAUUGGUCUAUUAGAGGAUUGUCACCCGAACUAGAAAAAGGAUGACAGUGGUGUUGAAAUUUAGACCAUUGUAAAAAAAGAACAUUCCCGAAGUUGCUAUUAACUGGAUCUCUUGGUUACAUCCAUUCACUGGACCUUUUGGCUGAAGGCAUGGUAGCAAUAAAGUUUAAGCAGUUUUCCAUCUUAAAUGCUGUUGUGUGUUUGCUGACUGCAUUGUAUGUAUCCAACGCAGAGAACCCUAAAGAUGGAGGUGGGUAGACAAAGAAUGUGUUCCUUCUUCUGGACCAGAUAUUACUACAAACAAACGGAAAAACGAACAUUCCAAUUGGAGUUAAAAACUUUUUACCGCAGCUUUGAGAACCUGGAAAUGACUUAAGUAUAGAUAGAUGAAUCCUAGUAAGAUAAGUGUUUGAAUGUAGUACUUUGUAUAUAUGUAUAAAUGCAAAUAACCAUUAGGAUAAUUUAUUUAUUAUAUUAGAUCUUUUAUAAUACAUAUGUGUGUUUUGACAAAAUUUGAUUUGAAGUGCUCUGAAUUUCAGGAUAAUUUAACCAAUCCUUAAUUGGUUGAAAUAAUUGGUCAAAAAAACCAUUGCACAUUGGUUACAUUAACCAAAUUCAAUAUAGGUUACAUCAACCUAUUAAAUAUUGGUAGAUUCAACCAAUAUUAAUAUUGGUAAUUUUAACCAAAACGAAUUUGGUAAAAAAAUAACCAAAUUUUAAUUGGUUGUCCUGGUUGCAUCCAGGAGAACCUUUUUUUUUUGGUUGUUUCAACCAUUCAUUUUUU